GAUGAACGCUGGCGGCGUGCCUAAUACAUGCAAGUCGAGCGAACAGAUAAGGAGCUUGCUCCUUUGACGUUAGCGGCGGACGGGUGAGUAACACGUGGGUAACCUACCUAUAAGACUGGGAUAACUUCGGGAAACCGGAGCUAAUACCGGGUAACAUUUGGAACCGCAUGGUUCUAAAGUGAAAGAUGGUUUUGCUAUCACUUAUAGAUGGACCCGCGCCGUAUUAGCUAGUUGGUAAGGUAACGGCUUACCAAGGCGACGAUACGUAGCCGACCUGAGAGGGUGAUCGGCCACGCUGGAACUGAGACACGGUCCAGACUCCUACGGGAGGCAGCAGUAGGGAAUCUUCCGCAAUGGGCGAAAGCCUGACGGAGCAACGCCGCGUGAGUGAUGAAGGGUUUCGGCCCGUAAAACUCUGUUAUUAGGGAAGAACAAAUGUGUAAGUAACUGUGCACGUCUUGACGGUACCUAAUCAGAAAGCCACGGCUAACUACGUG
Molecule: ribosomal RNA, 497 nt
Filed under: uncultured bacterium
Lineage: Bacteria
Description: partial 16S ribosomal RNA
Rfam family: Bacterial small subunit ribosomal RNA
Source: RNAcentral